AUUGAACGCUGGCGGCAUGCUUUACACAUGCAAGUCGAACGGUAACAGCACUUCGGUGGCUGACGAGUGGCGAACGGGUGAGUAAUACAUCGGAACGUGCCUAGUAGUGGGGGAUAACUACUCGAAAGAGUAGCUAAUACCGCAUGAGAUCUAAGGAUGAAAGCAGGGGACCUUCGGGCCUUGCGCUACUAGAGCGGCUGAUGGCAGAUUAGGUAGUUGGUGGGAUAAAAGCUUACCAAGCCGACGAUCUGUAGCUGGUCUGAGAGGACGACCAGCCACACUGGGACUGAGACACGGCCCAGACUCCUACGGGAGGCAGCAGUGGGGAAUUUUGGACAAUGGGCGCAAGCCUGAUCCAGCAAUGCCGCGUGCAGGAUGAAGGCCUUCGGGUUGUAAACUGCUUUUGUACGGAACGAAAAGCCCUCUUCUAAUACAGGAGGGUCAUGAAGGUACCGUAAGAAUAAGCACCGGCUAACUACGU
Molecule: ribosomal RNA, 481 nt
Filed under: uncultured bacterium
Lineage: Bacteria
Description: partial 16S ribosomal RNA
Rfam family: Bacterial small subunit ribosomal RNA
Source: RNAcentral